CUUGGUCAGAACGAACGCUGGCGGCGUGCUUAACACAUGCAAGUCGAACGCGAAAGGGACUUCGGUCCUGAGUAAAGUGGCGCACGGGUGAGUAACGCGUAGAUAACCUGUCUUCAUGUCUGGAAUAAUACGCCGAAAGGGGUACUAAUACCGGAUAUUCUUGCUUUUCAUAAGUUAUGCAAGCAAAGGUGGCCUCUGCAUAUGCUACUGCAUGAAGAGGGGUCUGCGUACCAUUAGCUAGUAGGUGGGUAAUGGCCUACCUAGGCGACGAUGGUUAGCGGGUCUGAGAGGAUGAUCCGCCACACUGGCACUGGAACACGGGCCAGACUCCGUACGGGAGGCAGCAGUGAGGAAUAUUGCGCAUGGGGAAACCCUGACGCAGCGACGCCGCGUGAGUGAAGGAAGGCCUUCGGGUCGUAAAGCUCUGUCAAGAGGAAAGAAGUGUACAAUGGCUAAUACCUGUUGUAUUUGACGGUACCUCUAAAGGAAGCACCGGCUAACUCCGUGCCAGCAGCCGC
This 518-nucleotide ribosomal RNA is filed under the name uncultured bacterium. RNAcentral's name for it is "bacterial SSU rRNA". It matches the Rfam family "Bacterial small subunit ribosomal RNA", at positions 19 to 518 of the family's 1533-position model. The record is from RNAcentral.